This 497-nucleotide ribosomal RNA is filed under the name uncultured bacterium. RNAcentral describes it as "partial 16S ribosomal RNA". It matches the Rfam family "Bacterial small subunit ribosomal RNA", at positions 28 to 507 of the family's 1533-position model. The record is from RNAcentral.
GACGAACGCUGGCGGCGUGCCUAAUACAUGCAAGUUGAGCGCUGAAGGUUGGUACUUGUACCCACUGGAUUAGCAGCGGACGGGUGAGUAACGCGUGGGUCAUCUGCCUUUGAGCGGGGGACAACAUUUGGAAACGAAUGCUAAUACCGCAUAAAAACUUUAAACACAAGUUUUAAGUUUGAAAGAUGCAAUUGCAUCACUCAAAGAUGAUCCCGCGUUGUAUUAGCUAGUUGGUGAGGUAAAGGCUCACCAAGGCGAUGAUACAUAGCCGACCUGAGAGGGUGAACGGCCAAAUUGGGACUGGGACACGGCCCAAACUCCUACGGGAGGCAGCAGUAGGGAAUCUUCGGAAAUGGACGAAAGUCUGACCGAGCAACGCCGGGUGAGUGAAGAAGGUUUUCGGAUCGUAAAACUCUGUUGGUAGAGAAGAACGUUGGUGAGAGUGGAAAGCUCAUCAAGUGACGGUAACUACCCAGAAAGGGACGGCUAACUACGUG